GAUGAACGCUGGCGGCGUGCCUAAUACAUGCAAGUCGAGCGAACAGAUGAGGAGCUUGCUCCUCUGACGUUAGCGGCGGACGGGUGAGUAACACGUGGAUAACCUACCUAUAAGACUGGGAUAACUUCGGGAAACCGGAGCUAAUACCGGAUAAUAUAUUGAACCGCAUGGUUCAAUAGUGAAAGACGGUUUUGCUGUCACUUAUAGAUGGAUCCGCGCCGCAUUAGCUAGUUGGUAAGGUAACGGCUUACCAAGGCAACGAUGCGUAGCCGACCUGAGAGGGUGAUCGGCCACACUGGAACUGAGACACGGUCCAGACUCCUACGGGAGGCAGCAGUAGGGAAUCUUCCGCAAUGGGCGGAAGCCUGACGGAGCAACGCCGCGUGAGUGAUGAAGGUCUUCGGAUCGUAAAACUCUGUUAUUAGGGAGAAACAAAUGUGUAAGUAACUAUGCACGUCUUGACGGUACCUAAUCAGAAAGCCACGGCUAACUACGUG
This 497-nucleotide ribosomal RNA is filed under the name uncultured bacterium. Its description in RNAcentral is "partial 16S ribosomal RNA". It matches the Rfam family "Bacterial small subunit ribosomal RNA", at positions 28 to 507 of the family's 1533-position model. The record is from RNAcentral.